UGGCGUGGGCAGCGGUUUGGUUAGGGGAUAGGGAUAGGAAUAGGCCCUUAUCCCUCCCUUUAUACCCAAACGCUAAUUUUUUAUUCGAGAAUAGUAGUUCUUGGUUAUCCCCACCAACACCUUCAUUUUUUAUAUAAAACUAUCUAAAAUUGUUCUUAUUCUAGGGAACAACCCAAUUUUCAUCCAAACACUAUUUUUUUUAUUCCCAUACUUGUACCUAUCCCUGUAAUAGCUAGUUUUUGCUUAUAUCCGAACCAAACGGUACUUUAGGGUUUAGGGUUGGGUUAACCCCCUUUUAUCCCCAUACGGAAACAUCUCGGGGUGGGGUUUGUUAACCCCACCCUUAAUGGGUUAUUCCUGAUUAAUCCGUUAAAGGUGGGGUUAACAAACCCCACCCCUUUAGAAUUGGAUGGGAUUAAGUUAAUCCCACCCCAAUUUAAUUUUUAAAAUAUAAAUUUAAAAUUUUAAUUUUAAUUUAUAAAUUUUAAAAAUUUUAUAAUUUGUAAUUUUAAAAUUAAUAUUAAUAUUUUUAAAAUUUAAAAUUUAAAAUUUUAUUUUUAUUUUUAAUUGUUUAAAUUUUAAAUUUGACAUUUUAUAUUUGAAAUUUUAAAAAUAUAUAAUUUGCAAUCUUAAAAUUAAUAUUUAUUGUUUAAAAUUUUAAAUUUUAAAUUUUAAAUUUUAAAUUAUUAUUUUUAAUUAUUUAAAUUUAAAAUUUAAAAUUUUUUAUUUGAAAUUUUAAAUUUUUAAAUUUAAGAUUUAAAAAUAUAGAUUUUAAGUUUGAAUUUUUUAAUUUUAAAAGUUACCUAUUUAAAUUUGAAAUUUGAAAUAUAAAAUAAAAAAUUUAAAUUCAAAUAUAAUAAUUAGGGCAAUAUCAUUAUUUUCUAUUUAUAACUACCCACUAUCCUUCUUAUUCCACUUACUUCAACUAAACGCUAUUUUGCUUAUGUCUGAACUAAACCAAAUUUUUAACCAAACACAAAAUUACUCUAACCCUACCUUAACCCUGAACUUAACCCUAUCCCUGGAAUAACUAAUUCUUACUUAACCCCGAACCAGAUUCGAGUCUAAGUACUUGAUUGGAUCUGGAUACUUGAUAUAUUGUAUCCGUACUCUAAAGA
This 1118-nucleotide long non-coding RNA is filed under the name Ananas comosus (pineapple). RNAcentral describes it as "long non-coding RNA (ACOM_LNC042132)". The record is from RNAcentral. Lineage: Eukaryota; Viridiplantae; Streptophyta; Magnoliopsida; Poales; Bromeliaceae.